Molecule: long non-coding RNA, 3438 nt
Filed under: Marmota monax (woodchuck)
Lineage: Eukaryota; Metazoa; Chordata; Mammalia; Rodentia; Sciuridae
Source: RNAcentral
UUCAAAGACUCUAAGAUUCUAAAGAGUACAGUUAAAAUUUGGUUUUAAAAUUAAAUUAGCCUUGCAGUUUUUAUUGAAGAGGAAAUUCAGAACCAAGAACCAAACAUUUAAUCUUAAAUUGCAACACUUUUAAAAAAAAAAAUCUUUUAUCUUCUCAAAUUUAUUAUCAUGAAAGUUCUAAAAUAAGGGACUUUUCUUUAUAUAAUGUCUGUUUAACUUUGGUCAGCAUUUCUUUUGGAAAUUAACUUGUUUGGAGUGGGGGGAUAGUCCCCAAACAAAGCCAAAAGUCAGUCAUCUUUUGCAUCUUUAUGAAGAAAUUGCUGUUAAGGGUUUACAAAUGUGUAUGUUGUCAGUAAAUCGACUUAACCCAUCUACAUGGUUCAGGGGUUAAUCUGAUACCAGAUUGGUAAGGUACAAGUUAAAAUCAAUAAGUUAUUGAAUGGGAAGAUCAAGCCUUGAAGUCAGCGUUUGGACACCAUUUAGCUAAGUUUUUUUAACAUAAUUUGAUGCUUACUCUGAAAUUCUUUGCUCAUAUCUCAUUGAUUAAAAAAAAAAAUUUUUUUUUAUACCCAUGAUUGAACCUAGGGUGCUUAUCCAAUGAACCACAUCCCAGCCCUUUUUAUUUUUUGGAACAAGGUUUUGGUAAGUUGCAUAAGGCCUUGCUUAGUUGCUGAGGCUUGCUUUGCACUUAUGAUUCUCCUGCCUCAUGCUCCCAAGUCGCUGGGAUUACAGGUGUGCACCAUCAUACCUGCCUUAUAUCUCAUUGAAUCUUGAUACAAGUUUUUUGUUGUUGUUGUUUUUGCUUUUGUUUUGAAUAGGCAAAGCCUAAAUACCCUCCAGCUAGUGUUGGCCAUGCCAUCUCUUAGAAUUACAGGACUACCAAAUGUUAGAACCAGAUUUUUUUUUUCCCCCAAUGGUGCUGGUGAUUGAACCCAGGGUCUCAGGCCUAGAGUACAUGCUAGGUAGGCAAGCACUCCUAACCACUGAGCUACUGCUCUGUUCCAGAACUAAGCCUUUUAACAAACCCUGGUUGACUGGAAUAUCGUGGAGAGGUGGGAAAGCCACAUUAAGCAUGAAGUUUUCCUUGUGAAGAAAGAAUGGGAAAACACUCUGUGUUGAGUAGUAGAUCCAACGCCAUUCUUAGUCUCUUGAGUCUCACCUACAACUAGCCUUAAACUAGUGAAGUCUAUAAAUUUCAUCUUUCAGUUUUUCCUGUUUUAAGAAAAACUUGCUCUUUACAAAAUGUUUGACAUUUUUUAAAGAUUUAGAAUGAUCUUACCACGGCUUGUAUUAUAUAUCUUUGGUAAGUAAAAUGUACAAGGAUAUCUCUUUGCAUAUAAAAAGUAAAAUGUACGAGGAUAUCUCAUUGCAUAUAAAGUUCACCCCUUGUAACCUUGUAGUGAUACAAAAACUUGUGAGCCUCUGUGUGCCAAGCCUUGUGUUGAAUACUUACACGAGUCUAGUUUGUCCCUGAUAGGUAAAGACUUAUUUUAGAGCUGAGGAAAGUAGAAUUUAGAAAAGUUGCCCAAGAUUAGACUGCUGUUUUCAGAGUUGGAAUCCUAGCUAAGGUCUGCUUUUUCUCCAGAGUCCAUGUGCUUAGCAGUUGCGCUUUGAGAAUUGAAAAUGAAAGAGUGAGGAGCAAAAAGCCUGAAUAUUUUAUACAGCUUUCAUACCCCUCUUCUUCCACCAACCUUUCUGAAAUCCUUCACUGAUCAGCCCAAUUCCAAGUGAAUAAAAAACAACCAAAAAACCUUUGGUUUUUUUUUGGGGGGGCGGGGUGUAGAAUUGCAAGGUAUUUAUAAAUCAUAAAUCUUAAUUCUCUAGUCCUCUAAGUUUUCUAUUGCUGCUGUGACAAAUUACCAUAAAGCCACACAAAUUUAUUAUCUUUAGAUGAGUCUGAUCUGAGUCAAGUCAGGAAGUCAGCAGGGUGCAUUUCUUUUCUUUUGUGGACCAUUGUUCUAUCUAGACUUGCUAAUUAUAGCUUAGUUGUUGAUGAACUAAUGUUAGAUUUUUGGAGUUAUGGAAUAUCUAAGGCCAUAAUAAAUAGUAGCAACAAUAGAGAAGAAAAUGGAGUGGUGUUAAGCUGCUUGAGUAUUGCAAAUGUUUUUAUACUCUUGUAACAUGUGAAUAACUAUCCUGUGUUAUAAGACUGCUUUUAAUAGGUAAGUAUACAUUUGUCUCCUAAGUUUUUAAUAGUAGCUGUGUAAAGUAUAUCAGGUAAGUUGAAUUCAUUAUGAGAGCUUGAUAAUGAACUCAGUAAAAACAAUUUUACUUAAUUUUAACAUUUGAAUGUGCCACUUGUACUAUUCCCAUCUCAGAUUCCUCUAAAACAUUGGUCAGUUUACCAGUUACUAGGGAUUUACAAAGUACAAUAAACAAUAUUUAAAAAUAAAAAAUAAUAAGCCAUAUUUAGUUUGUGUCUCCCAAAACAAAUCACAAGUAAAAUUGGUGCUGCUUUUUAAAAUUUUUUAUUAUUGCAUUAUAGUUAUACAUAAUAUUGGGGUUCAGUUUUGGUUCUGUUUUUUUAAAAGUUCCAAGCACUCUGAUUUCUUUAAUUGCUAUUUCAUAAAGUAUUUUAGUAAUUCAUGUAUAGAGCAAGAAGGUAUUAGAGUGAGUUGAGAACAAGUAUAACAAGUCAACAGCUAGAAAAAAGUUGUCUUAAACACUCAAAUCCACUCCUAAGUUGAAUCUUAAUAGUUACCAGCCAUUGAGAGAAAUGCUAGCAUAUGUACUUAAAAGGCAAUAAAUUCAAUAUAACUCCAAAUAUCUCUAAAAUACCUCUACCUCUAUGAAAUAAUUCACUGUGUAUACAUAUAUAUGUGUAUCAUUCCAAGUUGUCUUUUAAGAAUAUUUUUAAUUUUAAAAGAAAAUUUUUUCCAAGUAGGGGUAUUUUUCUUUUCCAGGAAUUUGUUGUUUGACUUUGCUUUAUAAGUUUAUAUUCAGCAUUUUGUUUCAGAAACAUCAGAACAUUUAAAGUGAAAUUAUCUUAAAGAUCUUUUUGUAUCAGUCACUUUUAUUUUCUGCUGAAAAAGCACCUAUCAGAGGAAAUCAUCAAUACCAUCACCAGUAAAAUAGCAAAAACAGGAAUGUUGAUUAUUGACCAUAUGAAGAGUUUAAGAUGGAAAAAAAAGGUUUCACCAAGUCAUUCUGACUUACCAGAGAAUCUCUAGGAAAUAUUUUCCAAUUCUUAAAUAUUUACUAUGUAUCUAUUUGGUAUGCUUAGUUAUUGGAAUUCAAUGAGCAACAUGGAAAGGGUCCAACUUUAUUGAGCUUGCUGUAUAGUAUAGAAGAUAAGUGAUAACAUCUGAAUGCAAAAUUGAAGCUGCAAGAAGAAAUUCCAAAUUUUUGAUUUGAAAAACUUAUAGUUUAUUGAGAAUACUGAAGCUUUUGUUUAUAUGGGUUAUAUUGUUAUUUAAUUUAUUAUAAAUUAAACUGAUA